This 275-nucleotide ribosomal RNA is filed under the name uncultured bacterium. Its description in RNAcentral is "partial 16S ribosomal RNA". It matches the Rfam family "Bacterial small subunit ribosomal RNA", at positions 399 to 691 of the family's 1533-position model. The record is from RNAcentral.
GCGUGUGUGAAGAAGGUCUUCGGAUUGUAAAGCACUUUCGGCGGGGACGAUGAUGACGGUACCCGCAGAAGAAGCCCCGGCUAACUUCGUGCCAGCAGCCGCGGUAAUACGAAGGGGGCUAGCGUUGCUCGGAAUGACUGGGCGUAAAGGGCGCGUAGGCGGUUCAUCGAGUCAGAUGUGAAAUUCCUGGGCUUAACCUGGGGGCUGCAUUUGAUACUGGUGGACUUGAGUUCGGAAGAGGGUCGUGGAAUUCCCAGUGUAGAGGUGAAAUUCGU